Molecule: ribosomal RNA, 427 nt
Filed under: bacterium S3-021-16S
Lineage: Bacteria
Description: bacterial SSU rRNA
Rfam family: Bacterial small subunit ribosomal RNA
Source: RNAcentral
AGUCGAACGGAAAGGCCCUUCGGGGUGCUCGAGUGGCGAACGGGUGAGUAACACGUGGGUGAUCUGCCCUGCACUUUGGGAUAAGCCUGGGAAACUGGGUCUAAUACCGAAUAGGAUCACGCGCCUCAUGGUGUGUGGUGGAAAGCUUUUGCGGUGUGGGAUGGGCCCGCGGCCUAUCAGCUUGUUGGUGGGGUAAUGGCCUACCAAGGCGACGACGGGUAGCCGGCCUGAGAGGGUGACCGGCCACACUGGGACUGAGAUACGGCCCAGACUCCUACGGGAGGCAGCAGUGGGGAAUAUUGCACAAUGGGCGCAAGCCUGAUGCAGCGACGCCGCGUGAGGGAUGACGGCCUUCGGGUUGUAAACCUCUUUCAGCAGGGACGAAGCGCAAGUGACGGUACCUGCAGAAGAAGGACCGGCCAACUAC